Long non-coding RNA from Zea mays, 1809 nucleotides. RefSeq lists it as uncharacterized. The record is from RefSeq and is a predicted model, not a curated record. NCBI's taxonomy places the organism in Eukaryota, Viridiplantae, Streptophyta, Magnoliopsida, Poales, Poaceae. The transcript has 3 exons.
UCAGAUUUCAGGACCUAUGGAUAAGCAGGAGCCAGUAGCCAAUGUUGAACAAAAGAUAGGUCUCUCUAGGAAGCCAAAGGAGCUGGUCAUUACUCAUUACCGAAUUAUUGUUUUUUGUCCUUUUUUACCUUGUUUACUCUGUUUGUCUAUUUUAUCAACCAUCUACCUCAGCCUAUUGCCAAUAAGGAUGAGAAUGCAACUGUGCCCUUGAUUUCAGUUGGUUCAAAUGCUAUCGAUCUACCAAGUGAAGGCCAAAUCCAAGUUGGCACACUCAACAUGGAUGGGGGCCAUAAUAGUGCACACAACUUGUAUUCUUCUUAGGCACAACCAUUCUGUUACCAAGAUAAGCUUACAUGUCUGAAUAUCUCUUCACACUUUGCAUUCCUUCUUUUGAUUUUAUUAUAGAACAUGAACUUAUGCAUUAUCCUAUAUAGUUGAUCUCAUGCAAUUAUAACCCAUGGAAACAUAAAAGAAGCAAUGAUACACCUGUACCAACUUCUGUUAGUGGAGAUGAUCAACUCUACUCCCUCAGCACUUCUUAUCUCUUUACUACCAGCAUUCAGUACCACAUGGCAUGCAAUAUUUAAGCUCUCCUACUCCAAUAUCACGGGGUGAUACAAUCAUGCUGAUUGCCCCAACACAAGGGUUUUUUAUCAAUGAUACCCUGAGUCCAAACAACUUCCUAUUUGGCAUAAUACCUGGUUAUUAUCUAACUUGUGCUUUGUUCAAUUUAUUUAGGCCUUAUGAUAUAGGUAACAUUUUAACUUUGUGUGUUUUGGUGCUAUCUCUUAGAAUGGUUUAUAUCUUUAGAAGGGACUGGGUCAUUUUCAUCAUCACCUGCAGUUUCAUCUCAACCUUCUAGCAUGUUCUAGGGUCCUAUGGCCAAAGCAAGUUUCUAAUGGCUUCAAGAAUGGUAUUCCUUUUAUGUUGCUAACCAUAUGUUUCUCUUCCCUUAAAUAGUAGGUUUCAAAUACAUUUUAACAAUUACCUCAUUAAACGAUGUCUACCUAUGUGAUAUAUAGAAACUAUAGCAAUGCACUGGCAUCUAAAAAUGCAAUGGUAUGCAAUUCUACAUAUUUGAGAAAAAAUGUUGGACAUCAACAUGUAAGAAACUAGAUAGCUUUAAUAUGUUUGUUCUAUUAUCCCUAAGACAUUUGCGCUAAUUGUUUAUUACUCCGCUAUUAAUUUUUAAAACAGACUUAUAAAAUUAUCAUCCAGACAAGGUUAUAAUUAUUUUCCAUGUCAAUGUUUUUGGACACUUGCUGGUUUUAGUUGUUGAGAUUUAUAGCAGAAAAGUUAUCUGAUUUUGGAACUACCUUAGAUUUUCUGAUGUGAUGAUGCACUUUGGGAAAUUACCUAACUGAUUACAUAAGGUGCAACAUUGUUCGUGGGUUGCAAAGGAUAAUGAGAAUUUGUUGGCGUUUGGUUUGUUCUGCUCAUGCUUGUGGGUAGAGCUGGUGACCCGGAGCUGACAAAGGAUGGUUACACCCUCUUGAAUGAAAUGUUGUCAUAUGUUAUGACUUACCAGUGGCAGUUCAGAACGUAUGCAUAUUUGCUACAUAGCCACACACCGCCACCAACGAAGAGCUCAGUGAUCAGGUCGUCUUCCAUUCCUAUCCCACUCCUUCCCGUGCGCGUCUGCUCCCUCUCCUCUGCUAUUGAAGGAACUUUUUGACCUGGCUAACAAGAUUGGUGAAGGUGGUUUUGGUUCAGUUUACAAGGUUUAUUGUCUGAUGGUACCAUGGUUGCUGUCAAGCAGUUAUCAACAAGGUCUAAACAAAGGAAUUGAAUUUCAUGAAUGAGGUAGGG